AUAUCAAUAAGCGGAGGAAAAGAAACUAACAAGGAUUCCCCUAGUAACUGCGAGUGAAGCGGGAUGAGCUCAAAUUUGAAAUCUGGCGGUUCCGCCGUCCGAGUUGUAACCUGGAGAAGCGUUUUCCGUGCCGGACCGUGUACAAGUGCCUUGGAACAGGACGUCAUAGAGGGUGAGAAUCCCGUCUUUGACACGGACCACCGGUGCUCUGCGAUGCGCUCUCGAAGAGUCGAGUUGUUUGGGAAUGCAGCUCAAAACGGGUGGUAAAUUCCAUCUAAAGCUAAAUAUUGGCGAGAGACCGAUAGCGAACAAGUACCGUGAGGGAAAGAUGAAAAGCACUUUGGAAAGAGAGUAAAACAGUACGUGAAAUUGUUGAAAGGGAAACGCUUGAAGUCAGUCGCGUCUGCCGGAACUCAGCCUUGCUUCUGCUUGGUGCACUUUCCGGUUCGACGGGCCAGCAUCGGUUUCGGGCGGUGGACAAAUGGCGUGGGAAGGUGGCGGCUCCGGCCGCGUUAUAGCCCAUGUCGCCAACGCCGACCGGGACCGAGGAAUCCGGCGCAAGCCUGGGAUGCUGGCGUAAUGGCUUUAAACGA
This 593-nucleotide ribosomal RNA is filed under the name uncultured fungus. Its description in RNAcentral is "eukaryotic LSU rRNA". It matches the Rfam family "Eukaryotic large subunit ribosomal RNA", at positions 40 to 647 of the family's 3401-position model. Lineage: Eukaryota; Fungi. The record is from RNAcentral.